UGGGGGAUAUUGCACAAUGGGCGAAAGCCUGAUGCAGCGACGCCGCGUGGGGGAUGAAGGCCUUCGGGUUGUAAACUUCUUUUGCUCUGAACAAGGCGCACCAUGGGGUGUGUUGAGUGUAGGGGUUGAUUAGCGCCGGCUAACUACGUGCCAGCAGCCGCGGUAAUACGUAGGGCGCGAGCGUUGUCCGGAAUUAUUGGGCGUAAAGGGCUUGUAGGUGGCUGGUUGCGUCUGUCGUGAAAGCUCAUGGCUUAACUGUGGGUUUGCGGUGGGUACGGGCUGGCUUGAGUGCAGUAGGGGAGGCUGGAAUUCCUGGUGUAGCGGUGGAAUGCGCAGAUAUCAGGAGGAAUACCGGUGGCGAAGGCGGCCCCCUGGACAAAGACUGACGCUCAGGUGCGAAAGCGUGGGGAGCAAACAGG
This 419-nucleotide ribosomal RNA is filed under the name Chloroflexota bacterium. RNAcentral's name for it is "Chloroflexi bacterium partial 16S ribosomal RNA". It matches the Rfam family "Bacterial small subunit ribosomal RNA", at positions 355 to 776 of the family's 1533-position model. The record is from RNAcentral. Lineage: Bacteria; Bacillati; Chloroflexota.